This 253-nucleotide ribosomal RNA is filed under the name uncultured bacterium. RNAcentral describes it as "partial 16S ribosomal RNA". It matches the Rfam family "Bacterial small subunit ribosomal RNA", at positions 524 to 776 of the family's 1533-position model. The record is from RNAcentral.
UACGUAGGGGGCAAGCGUUGUCCGGAAUCAUUGGGCGUAAAGCGCGUGUAGGCGGUUCGGUAAGUCGGCUGUGAAAGUCCAGGGCUCAACCCUGGGACGCCGGUCGAUACUGCCGGACUAGAGUUCGGAAGAGGCGAGUGGAAUUCCCGGUGUAGCGGUGAAAUGCGCAGAUAUCGGGAGGAACACCAAUGGCGAAGGCAGCUCGCUGGGACGUUACUGACGCUGAGACGCGAAAGCGUGGGGAGCAAACAGG